Molecule: ribosomal RNA, 164 nt
Filed under: uncultured alpha proteobacterium SCR7
Lineage: Bacteria; Pseudomonadati; Pseudomonadota; Alphaproteobacteria
Description: partial 16S ribosomal RNA
Rfam family: Bacterial small subunit ribosomal RNA
Source: RNAcentral
GGGAGGCAGCAGUGGGGAAUAUUGCGCAAUGGGGGAAACCCUGACGCAGCCAUGCCGCGUGAGUGACGAAGGCCUUAGGGUUGUAAAGCUUUUUCGCUAGGGAAGAUAAUGACGGUACCUAGUAAAGAAGCCCCGGCUAACUCCGUGCCAGCAGCCGCGGUAAU